Molecule: ribosomal RNA, 1455 nt
Filed under: uncultured Bacteroides sp.
Lineage: Bacteria; Pseudomonadati; Bacteroidota; Bacteroidia; Bacteroidales; Bacteroidaceae
Description: bacterial SSU rRNA
Rfam family: Bacterial small subunit ribosomal RNA
Source: RNAcentral
GCUCAGGAUGAACGCUAGCUACAGGCUUAACACAUGCAAGUCGAGGGGCAGCAUGGUCUUAGCUUGCUAAGGCCGAUGGCGACCGGCGCACGGGUGAGUAACACGUAUCCAACCUGCCGUCUACUCUUGGACAGCCUUCUGAAAGGAAGAUUAAUACAAGAUGGCAUCAUGAGUCCGCAUGUUCACAUGAUUAAAGGUAUUCCGGUAGACGAUGGGGAUGCGUUCCAUUAGAUAGUAGGCGGGGUAACGGCCCACCUAGUCUUCGAUGGAUAGGGGUUCUGAGAGGAAGGUCCCCCACAUUGGAACUGAGACACGGUCCAAACUCCUACGGGAGGCAGCAGUGAGGAAUAUUGGUCAAUGGGCGAGAGCCUGAACCAGCCAAGUAGCGUGAAGGAUGACUGCCCUAUGGGUUGUAAACUUCUUUUAUAAAGGAAUAAAGUCGGGUAUGGAUACCCGUUUGCAUGUACUUUAUGAAUAAGGAUCGGCUAACUCCGUGCCAGCAGCCGCGGUAAUACGGAGGAUCCGAGCGUUAUCCGGAUUUAUUGGGUUUAAAGGGAGCGUAGAUGGAUGUUUAAGUCAGUUGUGAAAGUUUGCGGCUCAACCGUAAAAUUGCAGUUGAUACUGGAUAUCUUGAGUGCAGUUGAGGCAGGCGGAAUUCGUGGUGUAGCGGUGAAAUGCUUAGAUAUCACGAAGAACUCCGAUUGCGAAGGCAGCCUGCUAAGCUGCAACUGACAUUGAGGCUCGAAAGUGUGGGUAUCAAACAGGAUUAGAUACCCUGGUAGUCCACACGGUAAACGAUGAAUACUCGCUGUUUGCGAUAUACGGCAAGCGGCCAAGCGAAAGCGUUAAGUAUUCCACCUGGGGAGUACGCCGGCAACGGUGAAACUCAAAGGAAUUGACGGGGGCCCGCACAAGCGGAGGAACAUGUGGUUUAAUUCGAUGAUACGCGAGGAACCUUACCCGGGCUUAAAUUGCAGAUGAAUUACGGUGAAAGCCGUAAGCCGCAAGGCAUCUGUGAAGGUGCUGCAUGGUUGUCGUCAGCUCGUGCCGUGAGGUGUCGGCUUAAGUGCCAUAACGAGCGCAACCCUUGUUGUCAGUUACUAACAGGUUAUGCUGAGGACUCUGACAAGACUGCCAUCGUAAGAUGUGAGGAAGGUGGGGAUGACGUCAAAUCAGCACGGCCCUUACGUCCGGGGCUACACACGUGUUACAAUGGGGGGUACAGAGGGCCGCUACCACGCGAGUGGAUGCCAAUCCCCAAAACCUCUCUCAGUUCGGACUGGAGUCUGCAACCCGACUCCACGAAGCUGGAUUCGCUAGUAAUCGCGCAUCAGCCACGGCGCGGUGAAUACGUUCCCGGGCCUUGUACACACCGCCCGUCAAGCCAUGGGAGCCGGGGGUACCUGAAGUGCGUAACCGCGAGGAGCGCCCUAGGGUAAAACUGGUGACUGCAGC